This 1014-nucleotide long non-coding RNA is filed under the name Felis catus (domestic cat). Its description in RNAcentral is "lncRNA (ENSFCAG00000047657.1)". The record is from RNAcentral. Lineage: Eukaryota; Metazoa; Chordata; Mammalia; Carnivora; Felidae.
AUGAAACAGGAAAGCGGGGUCCUGCCUGCAGCGCGUCACAUACUUGAGGCCUCGCCCGGCCGCCUGCCCCUCGCCCGCGCCCUGACAAGCCGCCGCACGUCCUACCCUCCCGGGGGCUGCCUCGGGCCGAGGGGCGUAAGGAGGGAUGGGUCGGGGCCACGGGGCCACGGGGCCACGUCACACAGGACUCCUCUGUCCGUGAGGGACUUGGGUCGUGCCCUGAAUGCAGCGAGGGGCCUCCCGCGCAGGCUGGGCUCUGAGACCCCGGGCCUGGGAAAUCCGGCACGUCGUCUGGCCUGGCCGUGGCACGGGGAGUGGGAUGGGGAGCGCCCUGCGGCUCCCUCUGAGGGUCUGGAGCAGCAGCCUCUUGUCGGAGCUGAUGCCGUCAUCCUGAGCUCAGCCCGGCGGGGCAGGGCUGGGCCAGGGGUCGCCGGGGCUCGGCCUCGGAGCUCGGAGCCGUGGCGCAUCUCCUCUGGGCAGCCUGGAGGCCGCCAGCGGUGGGGUGGGAGCCGGGGACUGACUCUGCUGCCCUCUGAUCUCACCUGCACACCUGACGUUUGUGGGGGACCUGGGGGGGUCCCACCACUGCAGCCUCAGGCAGCCUCGGGGUGGCGGGGAGGCUUUGCCAGGGUGUUAGGAGUGGAGCCGGCACCUGCACGGGCCUGGCAAGGUCCCCCUGCCUGCUCAGAGGGGCAUCCAUGCCUCAGGGCAGAGGGUCCCUGGGCUGAGGUUCAGGGCCUGGGGCCGGACCCCUCCCUGCUUCAGGCCUCCAUGCUUCUGGUCACCAAAGGAGUGUGGCCGGGACGGGUCCUGGGGCAGCCCAGGCUCCCUGCAGGCAGAGAACCAACGAGGACCCCUCUGAUGAGCAAGAAAGCCGGUGGGUCUGGCCGUGCGUCUGCCAAACCCCAGCUAGCCUGGGGAAGGGGUUUCAGAUGCCUCCCAGACUCUGUCCCCCCCCCCCCCGACCCCCAGGAGCCUCUUCCUCUCUUGGCAUCAGACCGCCAAGCAAGCUGA